UACGAAGGGGGCUAGCGUUGCUCGGAAUCACUGGGCGUAAAGGGCGCGUAGGCGGCCGAUUAAGUCGGGGGUGAAAGCCUGUGGCUCAACCACAGAAUUGCCUUCGAUACUGGUUGGCUUGAGACCGGAAGAGGACAGCGGAACUGCGAGUGUAGAGGUGAAAUUCGUAGAUAUUCGCAAGAACACCAGUGGCGAAGGCGGCUCACUGGCUCGAUACUGACGCUGAGGUGCGAAAGCGUGGGGAGCAAACAGG
RNAcentral lists this ribosomal RNA (253 nucleotides) under uncultured bacterium. RNAcentral's name for it is "partial 16S ribosomal RNA". It matches the Rfam family "Bacterial small subunit ribosomal RNA", at positions 524 to 776 of the family's 1533-position model. The record is from RNAcentral.